This 447-nucleotide ribosomal RNA is filed under the name uncultured bacterium. RNAcentral's name for it is "partial 16S ribosomal RNA". It matches the Rfam family "Bacterial small subunit ribosomal RNA", at positions 330 to 793 of the family's 1533-position model. The record is from RNAcentral.
UCCAGACUCCUACGGGAGGCAGCAGUGGGGGAUAUUGCACAAUGGGGGGAACCCUGAUGCAGCGACGCCGCGUGGGUGAAGGAGCGUUUCGGCGCGUAAAGCCCUAUCGGCAGGGAAGAAGGAGGACGGUACCUGACUAAGAAGCCCCGGCUAACUACGUGCCAGCAGCCGCGGUAAUACGUAGGGGGCAAGCGUUAUCCGGAUUUACUGGGUGUAAAGGGAGCGCAGGCGGCGCGCCAAGUCUGAUGUGAAACCCCGGGGCUCAACCCCGGGCAUGCAUUGGAAACUGGCGGGCUGGAGUGCCGGAGAGGUAAGCGGAAUUCCUAGUGUAGCGGUGAAAUGCGUAGAUAUUAGGAGGAACACCAGUGGCGAAGGCGGCUUACUGGACGGCAACUGACGCUGAGGCUCGAAAGCGUGGGGAGCAAACAGGAUUAGAUACCCUUGUAA